Long non-coding RNA from Papaver somniferum (opium poppy), 1009 nucleotides. RefSeq lists it as uncharacterized. The record is from RefSeq and is a predicted model, not a curated record. The transcript is spliced from 3 exons. Lineage: Eukaryota; Viridiplantae; Streptophyta; Magnoliopsida; Ranunculales; Papaveraceae.
CAAAAUUAAUGUUUUAACUGUUUGUCCGUGGUUUUGCAUAAGAGUAGUUAAGAGCUCUAUGUAGACCACUUUAGUAUUCAUAUUAUAAUUUGUUAUGAACUGUAUCAUGUUUAGGUGCUGCAGGAAGUAGAUGAUUCCAGAAACCAUCUUGAAUUUAAGAAAGGCCAGGAAAGCAAGGAGGGAAAGAUAUCUUGGCUGUUAAGAGACAUCAAAAAAUUCGUACUCCGGGAAAAAAUAGACAAAAGGAAGGAUAUAUUGAUUCCAAAUAAUUUACUGUGUUGUGCCAAUAGUUUUUAAUGUACCUGAUCAGUAUGUUGGGAGCUCUUGAGUUUUUUCUUUUUCUUAGGCAUGAUUUUAGGGUAACUUUUUUGUAAUUUGUCAUUGUGCUUAGUGUAGGCUUUUGUAAAAUCAAUGUAGGUCAAGAUGAUGACGAGAAGAUGGUAGGUGACGAAUCACUAAAGACUAAUAGCAAGACAUCCAUCGAGAGUUCGUUCAUUAAAGAUAGUUGUUAGUGCCUACAUUCCUGUUCAGUUUCUUUAUAUAUAGACGAUGGACUAAUCGAUGACUUAUCUCAAGUCAGUGAAACUUCACCAUCUCCCGCCCCUCUACCUAAUGCAUGUCUGAGUACUAUUUGCACCUUCCACAAAUUCAGAUUUUGAAUGAGCAAGCAGAGACCAUAAACUGCUCUUGCACCAGAACUUAUUUUUACAUACCGUGGCGAGAAUAUGACGACCAUGAGCUCAUCAAAUUUCAUGGGUGUGAAAGCAAAGGGAUGAAUUAGCUUUGCUAAAUUCCGGGUUUUUCCUAACCUUGCAAGGUGUAUGCGAUGUGAAAUCCGUCUCUACAUGGCACACAUUGUCUAAAACAUCAAAGAAUGGCAGUGACCAUAUCCGGAAUGUAGCCACUUUGACCUACAAUAACGGGGAUAAAGUAUCUAGAGUCAUGGUGCGGUUCCUCUGUUCUCAUUUGUGACUAUCUGUAUAUUGUGUAUAAAUUUAUAUAAGUUUGA